Molecule: ribosomal RNA, 433 nt
Filed under: uncultured Lachnospiraceae bacterium
Lineage: Bacteria; Bacillati; Bacillota; Clostridia; Lachnospirales; Lachnospiraceae
Description: partial 16S ribosomal RNA
Rfam family: Bacterial small subunit ribosomal RNA
Source: RNAcentral
ACGGAAGGCAGCAGUGGGGAAUAUUGCACAAUGGGGGAAACCCUGAUGCAGCGACGCCGCGUGAGUGAUGAAGUAUUUCGGUAUGUAAAGCUCUAUCAGCAGGGAAGAUAAUGACGGUACCUGACUAAGAAGCACCGGCUAAAUACGUGCCAGCAGCCGCGGUAGUACGUAUGGUGCAAGCGUUAUCCGGAUUUACUGGGUGUGAAGGGUGCGUAGGUGGCAUGCAAGUCUGAAGUGAAAGCUCGGGGCUCAACCCCGGAAUUGCUUUGGAAACUGUCAAGCUAGAGUGCAGGAGAGGAAAGCGGAAUUCCUAGUGUAGCGGUGAAAUGCGUAGAUAUUAGGAGGAACACCAGUGGCGAAGGCGGCUUUCUGGACUGUAACUGACACUGAGGCACGAAAGCGUGGGGAGCAAACAGGAUUAGAUACCCUGGUA